RNAcentral lists this ribosomal RNA (458 nucleotides) under uncultured Gammaproteobacteria bacterium. RNAcentral's name for it is "bacterial SSU rRNA". It matches the Rfam family "Bacterial small subunit ribosomal RNA", at positions 51 to 508 of the family's 1533-position model. Lineage: Bacteria; Pseudomonadati; Pseudomonadota; Gammaproteobacteria. The record is from RNAcentral.
ACACAUGCAGUCGAGCGCGAAAAGCCUUCGGUGUGAGUACAGCGGCGGACGGGUGAGUAACGCGUAGGAAUCUACCUAGUAGUGGGGGACAACUCGGGGAAACUCGAGCUAAUACCGCAUACGCCCUACGGGGGAAAGCGGGGGACCUUCGGGCCUCGUGCUAUUAGAUGAGCUUGCGUUGGAUUAGCUUGUUGGUGGGGUAAUGGCCCACCAAGGCGACGAUCCAUAGCUGGUCUGAGAGGAUGAUCAGCCACACCGGGACUGAGACACGGCCCGGACUCCUACGGGAGGCAGCAGUGGGGAAUAUUGCGCAAUGGGCGAAAGCCUGACGCAGCCAUGCCGCGUGUGUGAAGAAGGCCCUAGGGUUGUAAAGCACUUUCAAUUGGGAGGAAAAGCUAACGACUAAUACUCGUUAGCCCUGACGUUACCUUUAGAAGAAGCACCGGCUAACUCCGUGC